Molecule: long non-coding RNA, 544 nt
Filed under: Olea europaea subsp. europaea
Lineage: Eukaryota; Viridiplantae; Streptophyta; Magnoliopsida; Lamiales; Oleaceae
Source: RNAcentral
AAAGUCUUCAAAAUUCCGAACUACAUACACCUUUGAUACACCAAAAGAAAAAAAUAGUUACAGGUGGUUUAAACAAACUACUAGACCCCCAUCAAUGGCGACAUCACCGUUGUCUAUGGCCCAUGCAACUCUCCUCUGUCGCUUAAAGACCAUGUACUCCCUUUGAAAGUCGUUGUUUUGCACCCAUUCCUUCCCCUUAAGCCUCACAAAACCCUUCCCUUCACGGCUCCGAUCCACCACCUCCACUCCAUACCCACACCAUUACGAAAUGAUUAUUUCUCGAGCAUCUAAUCCACCUCAUCCCCCAGUCGCCGUUGUCUAACUGUCGUCCCUAAUUAUAGAUCCGUUGAAUCAGAACCUGACCGGGAACUUGGUUUCGAAGACUGGGUUGAUAAAAAGCUAUCCAACGAGAAUAAAAGCAGUGCCGACACUGAAACUGAUACGGUAAUGGAUAAGGCCAAGAGAAAAUAUUAUAAUAAGAGAAGGAAAGAAUGUAUGGAGAAUUGGAGUCGGAUGAGGAAAGUGGGGAUGGGGAAGAAUGAUG